UACGUAGGGUGCGAGCGUUGUCCGGAAUUAUUGGGCGUAAAGGGUGCGUAGGCGGUCGGGUAAGUCUGAUGUGAAAUCUUCAAGCUUAACUUGGAAACUGCAUCGGAUACUAUUCGGCUAGAGGAAUGGAGGGGAGACUGGAAUACUUGGUGUAGCAGUGAAAUGCGUAGAUAUCAAGUGGAACACCAGUGGCGAAGGCGAGUCUCUGGACAUUUCCUGACGCUGAGGCACGAAAGCCAGGGGAGCAAACGGG
Molecule: ribosomal RNA, 253 nt
Filed under: uncultured bacterium
Lineage: Bacteria
Description: partial 16S ribosomal RNA
Rfam family: Bacterial small subunit ribosomal RNA
Source: RNAcentral